AUUGAACGCUGGCGGCAUGCCUUACACAUGCAAGUCGAACGGCAGCACGGACUUCGGUCUGGUGGCGAGUGGCGAACGGGUGAGUAAUGUAUCGGAACGUACCUUUCAGUGGGGGAUAACGUAGCGAAAGUUACGCUAAUACCGCAUAUUCUGUGAGCAGGAAAGCAGGGGAUCGCAAGACCUUGCGCUGAUUGAGCGGCCGAUAUCAAAUUAGCUAGUUGGUGAGGUAAAGGCUCACCAAGGCGACGAUCUGUAGCGGGUCUGAGAGGAUGAUCCGCCACACUGGAACUGAGACACGGUCCAGACUCCUACGGGAGGCAGCAGUGGGGAAUUUUGGGACAAUGGGGGCAACCCUGAUCCAGCCAUGCCGCGUGAGUGAAGAAGGCCUCGGUGUAAG
This 397-nucleotide ribosomal RNA is filed under the name uncultured bacterium. RNAcentral describes it as "bacterial SSU rRNA". It matches the Rfam family "Bacterial small subunit ribosomal RNA", at positions 30 to 429 of the family's 1533-position model. The record is from RNAcentral.